UGUGCAGGCGCGUCCGCGUGGGUGAAUACGAGGCUCGCUCGCGGUCGCCGUAACUACUGCUUUUGGGGCGGGCAGGAGCCCUCACAACGUGUUUUUCGCUUUGCAUUAUUUUCACACACAGGACAGCCCCACCGGUUCCCUUCCUUUGUUGAGCGCCGGAUGAACGGGGGAGCGGCCAAAAGAGUGGGGAGAGCCACGAGUCCCCCUCUCGAGCUCGCGCGAGGUUUCGGGGAAUCGGCUUCCUUCGUACUCCCCACCGCCACCCUCUUUCUCGUUUCCCUCACCCGAGUUCGUGGACGAGCAAACAACGUACGUUGCGGGCGAUUGUGUGGGUGGGGGUGUUAUUCAGACUUGUCUCGGUGGCACGACGACGUACGCGGCAUCUCUAACGCAGAGCUCGCCUGACGACAGCGAUGGGCCCUUGUCCAGCCAGAGACGUCAGAGAAGCGCCGAUUAAAUCAAUAGCUGCAAUGGGCGUGCGGGACCGGCUUUCACGGCACUUCAUAUAAUAUGGCAAGGUGCGAUGGAUAAAAGUAAUUUUUGUACGUGCGCACACUAUGGUAAGUAGCCAGAAGCAGAGAGUGGAGCGAGUAAUUGCGUUUGAAGAAGGGUUCUACUGCUGACCGGUGAUUGGUCUGCGCCUGAUCAACCGCGGACCAUGAGGCAUGGGAUGAGAGGCGACGAGUAAAACACAGUUUAUUCAAAAGGA
This is a long non-coding RNA of Dermacentor andersoni, 709 nucleotides long. RefSeq lists it as uncharacterized. The record is from RefSeq and is a predicted model, not a curated record. NCBI's taxonomy places the organism in Eukaryota, Metazoa, Arthropoda, Arachnida, Ixodida, Ixodidae.